RNAcentral lists this ribosomal RNA (3028 nucleotides) under Candidatus Jorgensenbacteria bacterium GW2011_GWC1_48_8. RNAcentral describes it as "bacterial LSU rRNA". It matches the Rfam family "Bacterial large subunit ribosomal RNA". The record is from RNAcentral. Lineage: Bacteria; Candidatus Joergenseniibacteriota.
AGCAAUCGGUGGAUGCCUAGGUAUUGCGUGCCGAUGAAGGACGUACAAGGCCACGAUAGUCGUCGGGGAGCUGCCAAGAAGCUUCGAUCCGGCGGUGUCCGAAUGGAGAAAUCCCGGCCGUGGAAACACGGCUGACCGAGUCUGACUCGGGGGGAACCUGGGGAACUGAAAUAUCUAAGUACCCAGAGGAAAAGAAAACGUAAGUGAUUCCCUUAGUAAGCGAUGAGCGAAAAGGGAAGAGCCCAAACCCCUUGCUUUUUGUUUUUCAGAAAUGUGAUAGUCAAAUUGGUAGAAGAAGGCCCUGGAAUGGGUCGCCAGAGAGCGUGAAAGCCGCGUAAUCGAAAUCAAGUUGGCGUCUAGGAGUAUCCUGAGUAGCUUGGGAGACGGCAAACUCCCGAGUGAACCCGCCCUGACCACAGGGCAAGGCUAAACACACGCAGUGACCGAUAGUGAACUAGUACCGUGAGGGAAAGGUGAAAAGAAGGGUGAGACACCCUGUGAAAUAGUACCUGAAACCGUUUGCUAACAAUCAGACAGAGUCCCGCUCAGCGGGAUGAUGUCGUGCCUAUUGAAGAAUGAACCGGCGAGUUAAGGUGAUUUGCAAGCUUAAGCCAUUGCUAUGGCGGAGGCGGAGUGAAAGCGAGCCUGAAUAGGGCGAUUAGUAAAUCAUUUUAGACCCGAAACUGGACGAUCUACCCAUGGUCAGGGUGAAGACGCAGUAAAAUGCGUCGGAAGCCCGCACCGGUGUAUGUUGCAAGAUGCUCGGAUGAACUGUGGGUCGCGGUAAAAUGCCAAUCGAGUCCAGAGAUAGCUGGCUCUCUCCGAAAUAUAUUUAGGUAUAGGCUUAUGUUUGAGAUAGGCUCCAGGAAACUUCCAGGGGUAGAGCACUGGAAAGGUGUUUAGCGGGAAACCGCUGGCACUUUACCAAACUUCGAAUACUGGAAGUGAAUUCAUGGGACUCAGUACGCCGGGGCUAAGCUCGGCGGGCGAGAGGGAAACAUCCCAGACCCUCGUCUAAGGUCUCUAAUUCUUGAUUAAGUGGGAAAGGAAGUCAUUUUCCUCAGACACCUAGGAGGUCGGCUUAGAAGCAGCCAUCCUUGAAAGAAAGCGUAACAGCUCACUAGCCGAGGGGAGUGGCGUCGAAAAUUUAACGAGGCUAAAAUCAAGAACCGAAGACAGGGACUCGUCGAGUUUAACUCGACGGGUGGUAGGAGAGCGUUGUCUGGGCGGUGAAGGCGUGUUGUGAAGCACGUUGGAGCGCAGACAAGUGUGAAUGCCGGUAUGAGUAGCGAAAGUGGGGUGAGAAUCCCCAUCACCGUAAGUCCAAGGUUUCCACCGCAACGUUCGUCGACGGUGGGUUAGGCGGUCCUAAGGCGAGGCCAAUGGGCGUAGUCGAUGGACAACUGGUUGAUAUUCCAGUCCUUGGUACAGUUUGUUUGAGUUGGGGCGGGACGAAGUUGGCUAACUCGGGCGGUGCGUUGAAGAUGCACACGUUUAAGCUGUUAGCCAGAUUUCCCAGGAAAAUCCGGGAAGUCGUUAAAGCGAGCCGCGAAUAAAAGGCGAGGGUAAUACUGAGCCAAUUCGGGUAACGUCAGCUUCCAAGAAAAACGUCGCAGCGAACCCGUCUAACGGGUCCAGAAACUGUAUCAAUCCGUACCAAUAACCGACACAGGUGGACGAGUCGAGUAGACUCAGGUGAGCGAGAGAACCUUCCUUAAGGAAUUCGGCAAAUUAGCUGGGCGUACGUUCGCAAUAAGCCCAACCCGUCCUACGCACUUUGCUCCGCAAGUGCUUCGGAGCGGCAAGCCUCUUGUUAUUGGGGGCGAAGCCAUUCCGUAGCUGUUUACGAAGUAAAGAGCGUAGGAUGGGUCGCAGAUAAAGAUUAUGGAGGGACUGUUUACCAAAAACACAGGUCUGUGCAAACUCGAAAGAGGAAGUAUACGGGCUGAGGCCUGCCCAGUGCCGGAAGGUUAAUUGCGAGGGUGGUCGCCGCAAGGUGAUUGCCUUCAAUCGAAGCCCCGGUGAACGGCAGCAGUAACUAUAAAUAAUUGUAGUUAUAAAAGUUAGCUAUAACUGUUCUAUGGUAGCGAAGUUCCUUGUCGCUUAAUUGGCGACGCGCACGAAAGGUGUAACCACUCCAUAACUGUCUUGAGGAGGGACUCGGCGAAAUUGAAAUGGCUGUGAAGAUGCGGCCUACUGGCAGCAGGACAAAAAGACCCCGUGAAGCUUUACUAUAGCUUGACACUGAUUUUUCAAAUGGAAUUGUUUAGGAUAGGCGGGAGUACCGGUUUUUAAUCGGCGCAACAGUGAAAUACCGCUCGUUUUGUUUGGGGAAUCUAACUUAAAGUAUCUGGAAACGAUACUAAGGACACUGUUUGGUGGGUAGUUUAUCUGGGGAGGAUGCUUGCUAAAGAGUACCGCAAGCGUACAAAGGUACCCUUGGCUCGGAUGGAAAUCGAGCUAUAAGCGCAAUGGUAUAAGGGUGCUUGACUGUGAGGCAUACAAGCCAAGCAGGUGGGAAACCAGGUCAUAGUGAUCCUCGUGCACUUUGUGGAAGGUGCCGGGCUUAACGAAUAAAAGCUACUCCGGGGAUAACAGAGUAGUCGCGCCUAAGCGUCCCUAGCGUCGGCGCGGUUCGCUACCUCGACGAUGUCGGCUCAGCGCAUCCUGGGGCUGAAGAAGGUCCCAAGGGUCAGUCUGUUCGCCUGUUAAAGCGCUACGCGAGCUGGGUUCAGACCGUCGUAAGACAGGUCGGCCUCUAUCCGCUGCCAGCGUGGGAAUUUUGAGGGAAUUCGUCUCUAGUACGAGAGGACCGAGAUGAGGAAGUCCCUAGUGUGCCAGUUGUUACCGUCAGGUGCAUUGCUGGGUAGCUACACUUCCAACGGAUAAUCGCUGAAAGCAUCUAAGCGAGAAGCCGCACCCAAGAUGAGAAUUCCAUGCUGCGGAGAGAUCCCUGGGAGACUACCAGGUAAUAGGCUGAAGGUGUACGCACGGUAACGUGUUUAGCCGAUCAGUCCUAAUAGAUCGA